UUGCUUUGACAGCACACAUACUAACACUGGAAUAAGACAAAGAAAGUUAGCAUGGCCCCUGAGCAAGGAUGAUGCACAGAUUUGUGAAAUGUUUUCUAUUGGG
Molecule: small nuclear RNA, 103 nt
Organism: Psammomys obesus (fat sand rat)
Lineage: Eukaryota; Metazoa; Chordata; Mammalia; Rodentia; Muridae
Source: RefSeq, a predicted model, not a curated record